AGAGUUUGAUCCUGGCUCAGGAUGAACGCUAGCUACAGGCUUAACACAUGCAAGUCGAGGGGAAACGACAUCGAAAGCUUGCUUUUGAUGGGCGUCGACCGGCGCACGGGUGAGUAACGCGUAUCCAACCUGCCCAUCACUUGGGGAUAACCUUGCGAAAGUAAGACUAAUACCCAAUGACGUCUCUAGAAGACAUCUGAAAGAGAUUAAAGAUUUAUCGGUGAUGGAGUGGGGAUGCGUCUGAUUAGCUUGGUUGGCGGGGUAACGGCCACAAGGCGACGAUCAGUAGGGGUUCUGAGAGGACGGUCCCCACAUUGGAACUGAGACACGGUACCAACUCCGUACGGGAGGCA
RNAcentral lists this ribosomal RNA (353 nucleotides) under uncultured bacterium. RNAcentral's name for it is "bacterial SSU rRNA". It matches the Rfam family "Bacterial small subunit ribosomal RNA", at positions 8 to 350 of the family's 1533-position model. The record is from RNAcentral.